AGUUCGUGGUGGAAGCAAGUGCGAAAGCUGGUCACCCAACGUUUGCAUUGGUUAGGGAGAGCACAGUCUCUGAUCCAGCUAAAGGAAAGCUCAUUGAGAAUUUCAAGAACUUAGGGGUCACCAUACUUCAUGGAGAUAUUUGCGAUCAUCAGAGUUUGGUGAAGGCCAUUAAGCAGGUGGAUGUGGUGGUAUCAACAGUUGGUGCCCUGCAACUAGCUGAUCAGACCAAUAUUAUUUCCGCCAUUAAAGAAGCUGGUAAUGUCAAGGUUGUACUCUGUUUCUCUAUCUCAUAUCCAUUUUCAGAUUUCAGUUCUGCAUAGUCUAAUUGAAUAGGAACAAGGACUAGGUUCCUGGAUAUAAUAUAAUAGUUAGAAUUAAAAUGGGUAUUUAAAUUUGACUUUAUUUAAAAUAAUAUUUAUUCAAAUAUUCGAUCUUUAAGCCUAUAUGGCAAGGGAAGACUUUUUUUUUUCUUUUAAGCAAAUUUAUUGGAAAGAAUCCAGGAAAAACUGGAUAAAAGAGAAAAGUACAAACUGGGUUCUACACAAGUUUAUCAACAUACAAAACUAGUGUCAUUCCUGCUAAGAGGAAGGCCCACUUCACUGGGCCAUAUGCACAUGCCUGCAUCUACAAGCAAUGAUGUUUGGUGGUCUGGUGGGAAAUCUUUAUCUAUCAAUAACAAAUAAUGAUUUUAUAUAUGUGAAACUUAAGCUUGAUGUUUUAGUUCUGAAUGGAUCUUGCUGGAGAAUGGAAUUUAAUAUGAUAACCUUGGAAUUGUUCAGAGGUUCUUCCCUUCGGAGUUUGGGAAUGAUGUAGAUCAUGUUCAUGCUGUUGAGCCA
Molecule: unclassified non-coding RNA, 836 nt
Filed under: Hevea brasiliensis (rubber tree)
Lineage: Eukaryota; Viridiplantae; Streptophyta; Magnoliopsida; Malpighiales; Euphorbiaceae
Source: RNAcentral